Molecule: RNA transcript, 2407 nt
Organism: Myxocyprinus asiaticus (Chinese sucker)
Lineage: Eukaryota; Metazoa; Chordata; Actinopteri; Cypriniformes; Catostomidae
Gene name: retinitis pigmentosa 9 protein homolog
Exons: 5
Source: RefSeq, a predicted model, not a curated record
CUUUCCUGUGCAUUUGCAAGCGUUAAUACACACAAUCUUCUUCGACUUUCUGUGGACACAGGAUGCGCUCAUAUAUUUAGAAGGAAAACAUUCUUAAUGAAUGUAAAAUGUCAGAUCGCAAACGAAGCCGAGAGCACCAUGAAGACAGACAUGAACGAAAGAAACACAAGAAGUCAAAACAAGAGGUCGACAAAUACAAGAACCAAACCAGAAAACUCAUUCAAGAGGUGCAAACAAUCUAGCAUGUGGAGACAUUUUGAGUAUUUCAUAUAUAAUGCUAAUGCAUUGCUCAUGCUUUUUGAGAGAGUUUGAUCUAUGAAAAUCCUCCUCCUGGACUCAUAAAUGUUUGCCAUACUGACCACUUUUGUAGGAAGAGGACAACAAGCCAGAGGACUGUAUACCUGAUGAUCACGGUAAUGAGGAUGCCAGGAACUUCUUGGCUCAUGAGCCCACCAAAGGACUGUGGAUGCCUCUGGGCAAAGAGGUGAAGGUUAUGCUGUGUAAGCCAACUUUUCAAGUAAUUUCACGAAUUGUGAAAAGGUUGGAAUUGCAAGCAUUCUUCACAUAAAUAUAUAGAUUCUUCAACUUUUACCUGCAUUUUGAGCACACAGCGCACAAGUGAAUUGAAGUUUCUCCAACCUCUAUUAGUCAUAAGUGAUAUUUUAGCAUUUUUCAAGGAUUGCACAUUGAUUGAACUAUGUAGGCUGGAGAUGCAAGAGGUAUGGCCACCGAACAGGAGAUAGAGAAUGUCCUUUCUCCAUAAAAGGAAACCAGAAACUGGAGCAGUUCAGAGUGGUUCAGUGCAACUAAACUGGCCUACUUUUGCACUGAAGUGAUUUAUUUAAAAUAAGGCGUAUGAGGAUCCAAUGUACGAUAUCAUCCGAGAAAAUAAAUGCAGUGAAAAAGAGACAAGGAUCCAACAACUGAAGCAGCUGCUACAGGACACAACCUCUGACUCCUCUUCCUCUGCCUCAUCCGAUCACAUCUGGAAAAGGAAAAAGGAAAAAAAAAAGGAGAAGAGGAAGAAACAAAAGAAGAAGCAUAAGGCCAAGGGCAGCGAAGACUCUGACUCAGACUGAAACAAGCCCAGUAGUUUUGAUGCCUAAAAUUCCUUUGGUGAAACUGUGUUUCAGAUCACUGCCCUAUCAGAUAUGAGUGUAAACACGGGAGGCCUCUCCCCAUGCCAUCUUCAGAGAUGCUUAAUAAUGCAUGGAAGCAUUUAGUCCCUCUGUCACAUGCAAUGCUUAGGAUUUGUGCAUCUCUAUCAGGUUUCCUAUAGCUGGUCCUUAUCAGACCAUAAGCAUGUUUGUUCUUCAGGCCUGAAGUCCAGGAUUUGAGAAUGUCAUUGCCUAAAGAUGAACUCUUCUUUUUUUAAAUGUAUGUUGAUUUACAUUUUGGGAAUGUUUUGUCUUGCAAAGUGACAGAGAAGAUCUUAUUAUACAUUAUAUUAUACAUGUCGUCUGCUUUAGUUUUUGUUUCUGAAUGCUUCAGAUGUAAUUACAUGUGAGCAGUGCCUAAUGCUGUAACUUUCAUGUAAGUUACUGAAUGAGUACGAGGUUUCCAGUGUUUAAGAGUACAAAUACUCUUUGUAUGGUUGUCAGAGUUCACAAAGGGAUUUGAGCAUUUGUAUUUUCAUGAGAUUGAAAUUAUAACUGCAGUUUCUAUCAAAUUGGUGGGGAUUCAGCAUUUGGCCAUGAUACACAAGAACAUCCAAUUAGCAUCUCUUGAAUUGAUGACAAUGGAUUGCAUAUCUUUCACAUCACAAGUGGGAGAAAGAAUGAUUCAUUUGAUGUUUUCACUGAAAUCUGGACUCCCUUGGCUGUCGUUGGAGUGCAUGUGUCAUUUUGUACCAAAGAUAAACAGUGCAUCAUAACAUCAAAGGAGCUCUGCAUGAUCCUGCUUCAAUUAGAGACUAUUUAAAUGUGUGCUGUUAAAAAAUUUGUAAAUACUAAACCAAAAUGCAGGCUAUGACUGGCCCCAAGGACUUGCUGUAUUUGACUUUUAGAUUAAUUUGUUAGCUUCUUCAAUCUGCUGUCAGGAGUGUGUGUGUGUGUGUAUAUAUACAUUAAUAAUAAAGGCUGGAUUUUUAUGUUUCCUCAAUUCCUCUGUUCCAUUGUAAAUCCCUUUGUGCUGAUAUGGCCCAGGGCAUUUGAUAUGUGUGUAUCUGGCAUGUUCCUCUUUUAUAUGACAAGUCACGAAUGAGUUUUAGGCACUGGUACUCACUGUUAUGCUCCCUGCCAUACACCCCUUGUGCAAUUAUAAUGGUUUAAAUACAUUUAAAAUGUUUUGGUGAACUGAAAUCUAAUCAGGCAAGACAAUGAGUUUGAUUUAAAAUGUAGAUGUAUAACAGCGGUGGAAAAUGUCAAAUAUUUAGCUGAUAAAAUACAAAGAUGCAAAUAAAAACAGA